This 73-nucleotide transfer RNA is filed under the name Canis lupus familiaris (dog). It matches the Rfam family "tRNA". From Rfam's summary of the family: Transfer RNA (tRNA) molecules are approximately 80 nucleotides in length. Their secondary structure includes four short double-helical elements and three loops (D, anti-codon, and T loops). RNAcentral also lists the same sequence under 1 other name. The record is from Rfam by way of RNAcentral. Lineage: Eukaryota; Metazoa; Chordata; Mammalia; Carnivora; Canidae.
ACCUGGCUGGCUUAGUUGGUAAAGCAUGCAACUCUUGAUCUCAGGGUUGUGAGUUCAAACCCCAUGUUGGGUG